AUUGAACGCUGGCGGCAGGCCUAACACAUGCAAGUCGAGCGGAUGAAGGAAGCUUGCUCCUGGAUUCAGCGGCGGACGGGUGAGUAAUGCCUAGGAAUCUGCCUGGUAGUGGGGGAUAACGUCCGGAAACGGGCGCUAAUACCGCAUCCGUCCUGAGGGAGAGAGUGGGGAUCUUCGAACCUCACGCUAUCAGAUGAGCCUAGGUCGGAUUAGCUAGUUGGUGGGGUAAAGGCCUACCAAGGCGACGAUCCGUAACUGGUCUGAGAGGAUGAUCAGUCACACUGGAACUGAGACACGGUCCAGACUCCUACGGGAGGCAGCAGUGGGGAAUAUUGGACAAUGGGCGAAAGCCUGACGCAGCAAUGCCGCGUGUGUGAAGAAGGUCUUCGGAUUGUAAAGCACUUUAAGUUGGGAGGAAGGGCAGUAAGUUAAUACCUUGCUGUUUUGACGUUACCAACAGAGUAAGCAACGGCUAACUACGUG
RNAcentral lists this ribosomal RNA (483 nucleotides) under uncultured bacterium. Its description in RNAcentral is "partial 16S ribosomal RNA". It matches the Rfam family "Bacterial small subunit ribosomal RNA", at positions 30 to 507 of the family's 1533-position model. The record is from RNAcentral.